RNAcentral lists this long non-coding RNA (251 nucleotides) under Elaeis guineensis (African oil palm). RNAcentral's name for it is "long non-coding RNA (EGUI_LNC004900)". The record is from RNAcentral. Lineage: Eukaryota; Viridiplantae; Streptophyta; Magnoliopsida; Arecales; Arecaceae.
GCCUAGUCUCUCUCUGACUUGACCGUCAGAGGGUCCCCGUCGGAAGCAUCUCCAGUCUGUGAGGACUUCUCUUGUAGGUGUGCGACCUCGGCAAUCGGGCGAUGGGGGAUUGGCCGCAACAACCUGCUUUAGAUGCCUUGAGCCCACGGAUAGUCUUGAUGAAGUUACUUGCAUCAUCAUUCGAAAGCUUGACACCAGAUUUACGAGCCCAAUCAGUAAUCUGAUGUGGUUCAAACGAGUGAAGCAGCAGG